Amblyraja radiata (thorny skate) is the source of this 103-nucleotide long non-coding RNA. RefSeq lists it as uncharacterized. NCBI's taxonomy places the organism in Eukaryota, Metazoa, Chordata, Chondrichthyes, Rajiformes, Rajidae. The transcript is spliced from 3 exons. The record is from RefSeq and is a predicted model, not a curated record.
CUUUGGAGUGUGGGAGGAAACCCACGCAUGUCUCGGGGGAGAAUGUACAAACUCCAUACAGACAGCACCCGCAGUCGGGAUCGAACCCGGGUCUCUGGCGCUG